Molecule: non-coding RNA, 356 nt
Organism: Schizosaccharomyces pombe (fission yeast)
Lineage: Eukaryota; Fungi; Ascomycota; Schizosaccharomycetes; Schizosaccharomycetales; Schizosaccharomycetaceae
Source: the annotation of a GenBank genome assembly
UAAACCAUUAGGAAGUUUCACAUCUUGUGGAUCGACAUUGUCACGACUUGCUAAGAUACCUAUCCAUGUCCUCUUAAGGCCCUCAAAUGUUCCCAAAUCUGUUGCACUGUAUGGAAACAUACCCAGUAUGCCCACGAGCACGCCUCUGUAAUAACCCCGUAUCCCAACGCUUUUAUAAAGUUCCUUUGCGUUGGACAAAAUAAUGCUUUUUCCAUGCUGACCACGAGAUAAAUCGCUGCACUGAAUGCGAAAUUUCAGAGUAUCUACCGGAUAUAUAAACAUUUGAGCAACUGAACCAGCCAUGCCACCGGCUAAGUAAGAAUAAAGAGGACUAUGAUUUUCAGAGCUUGAAGAUA